Folsomia candida is the source of this 2699-nucleotide RNA transcript. RefSeq lists it as uncharacterized. The transcript is spliced from 8 exons. NCBI's taxonomy places the organism in Eukaryota, Metazoa, Arthropoda, Collembola, Entomobryomorpha, Isotomidae. The record is from RefSeq and is a predicted model, not a curated record.
UUAACCAUUCAUCAGGUGGACUCUGAACGAAUAUCUAGCUUAAGAGGAAAGUGCAUCGUAAUACACCAGAAAUUUCUGUUGAUGAAAGAAAUUUUAGUUAAACAGAUCUAUGCUGGCGGAAAUUUCCAUGCAAUUUUUAGGUUUCCAUGUAUGAGUCAUUUGAAACCCACCAUGACCUGGAACGACCUUGGGGAAGUGUUGCCAAACAUUUCUACCCGGGAAACUCAACAACACGACGACGAAUCAAAUUUCCUCGCAAUCUUACGCAAGAAUCCACAAUAUUUUAUCGCCUGGUAUGGAGAAGAUCGACGCCCAAUUUCUGGUCGAUACGGUGCCGGAAUGAUUUCCCACCUACUCGAAUAUUCUAGAAGACCGAGAUCACGACGGGAAAUUGAAAACUACGAAUUCUCCGAGUUUAUGCCACUUCAAGAACUAAUUUACUUCUUUAUUGAGGCCUUCUUAACAAUCCAGAAUCAAAGAAAGCGUUGGUCAUAUGCAGCGACCAGGAUGAUCAAUGGGGGCAAAAAAUUAGCAAAUAUGUUAGUCGAUAAAGGGCACGUAAACGCGGACUACUUACCUGCCUUGGAGUAUUUGUAUCGCUGGAUUUUAGCCAAUAUUAUUUUCGCCAAGGGAAAAUUGAUCGCCACAUCCAAGCUCAUUGACAUUGCCAGUUAUGCAAAUUAUACGACACAAUGGGACAAGCUACCAAGCAAGUCGAAAGCGCUCGUCACCGCGGCAAAGUGCUUCUUUCUCGCGUCGAUGAAGAUGACUGAUUCUAACCCGAAGGCACAGGCCAAGCAGGAAUUACGGAAGGUAGUCAACCUAGAUCCGCUAGUAUACGAGUGGCACUACAACUUAGGAAAUUGGAUUCGCUGUGAGCGAAAAACUUUAGCUGGCAUGAGCGAUAACUUUUUACUGAAACAAUGUCCCACCGAAGAGGAGAUGCAAAUUCUUUGGGAAACUUAUGACGUUUGCACCUACACGAAAAUCGGGGACGAUGGCAAGGCAACAACUUUGAGAAGGAUGGCGUUAGCCGGCGUUUGUCAAGGUAUGGCGGAAGUUGUUCGCUACCGUUGCCGGGCUAGCCUGGGCGGAAGUUUUAAGUUCGGUGGGUUACACCUGGCUAAUAAUUUUGCAACUGUGGAAUUCAUCCGAAAACAGACCAAAGCGAUCCAGGACGAAGAGAGAGCAACAUUUGCAGAGUAUAUUCGCUUCGGAGAAAUAUUUGCCGGGAUUCUUCCCCAUCAAUUUAGAGAUUACAAAAUGGCGGAAGUAUUUUAUAAAGAGGCCUACUUGAUAAUGCCCAGUAAUAGCAAGAUAAACCACAAACUAGGAACCUUGUAUUUUACAUCGGACGAGCUCCGAGACAUCCCUCGCUCUCUCCAUUUCCUCCGCCGCGCCGUAAAACGUGAAUUCUCCAACGUUUUCGCAACCCUUGACUUGCUUGGUGUCAUGAUUUCGUCCGUUUCCGAGCACCUCGCCGAAAUCGAGGAAGUCAUCCAAUUGUACUUGGAACGGAUCAAGGAUGGAUUCACAGGCCUGACUGAAAGUGAACUAAAAUGGAUAUUGGGUUGUGCCAAAUUCAUGACAGUGUCGGAUAAGGAGGACGCAGUUACAGUUUGGAUUUCCGGUCAAGAAUUGAACCCAACUAAAAAUGCAUUUGCUAAACUGCUCCUCUCAAUUAAACGGUAUCACUGGGAUAACAACUUGAUAAAUUUGAACCUGGUUAAAUCCACGCUAGAAAAUUCACUGAGGACACGAACCGAUACUAAUGAGAUUGCCAUUUUGCGAAAUAUGAUUGAAACUCUUCCCACUGCUACCAACAGGGGAACAUUUCAGACAAGUCUCCCUACAAGAGGUGGCUUCAGCAAAAGAGGAGGAUGCCAAGAAAGCGAUUUAGAUACCAAUUGGCGUACAUCUUCCAGACCAGUUCCUAACCGUGGGGAGGUUCCCACCAAUAAUUUUGGUAGGAGGAGAACUCUUAGACAGCAGCAUCGUCCCACAAGCCCAAUCAAUUGGAGAUGAACUUUAAUAAUGGACGGCUCCACUUAAAUUUCCUAUAAAUUUCUCUGUGACAAGUUACAUAUACACAAGUUUUAAAUAUUUUAAACUUCUUCAGAUGAUCUACUUAUUUCCCUUCUUGCAAGGAAAAAUGCAUACUCGUUCGAGCUAGAUUUUAUUCAAUAGCAUAAUCAUUUUUAUAUUUGUUCAUGCAUAUAUGCUUUCGUCAUAAAAGUUCUUCAGAGAAGAUUACAAUUAUUGAUUAAAUCAAAUACAAUGUCAAAGAGAGAUAUAGUCGACCAAAUAUAUUAUAUUAAAUAAAAAAUACUUGGGGCAGUCAUGGACAUGUCCAUGACCAUAAAUGAAAUUUACAUAGGUUUACUUCAUGACGCGUAUGAUUUAAUUUAACUUGUAUCUUAACAAGUCACAUAAACGCCAAAUGUUCAUACACAUAUUGACGUAUACGUAUGUAAUGCUUACGUAAGUUAUGUAUAAGUCACAAUUUUAAGUUAUAAGUUUUGUAUCCAUGGAUGCUCCAAGUAUCCAUUAUUUAUGUUACCUUUCCUUGAUAGAAUUAUGGUCUACGAAAUGCAUAAACAUAUUAAAUAUUUUAAUCACAGAAAUAUUCUUCUGUCGGCAAGUAUUUUUAGUCCUCCUCUCUUUACAUUUAGCUAUUAAAUAAAAGACAUUAUUUCAGA